UGUGGGUCGAAUGGAACUUAAGUUAUGCUCCGGAAACCGUUUUCAGUUUUAAGGUAAUAGUGACCUUGACCUUUGACCUUUUGACCCCAAAAUCAAUAGGGGUCUUCUACCCAAUAUGGACAAUCAUCCUAUGAAGUUUUAACAUUGUGGGCCAAAUGGAACUUAAGUUAUGCUCCGGAAACCAAAUUGCUAACGGACGGACGGACGUACGGACGGACGGACGGACGGACAGACAGACGGACGCCAGGGGGUAUAACAUAAUAUGCCCUUUCGGGCAUAUAAUAAUAAUAAAA
Molecule: long non-coding RNA, 293 nt
Organism: Ruditapes philippinarum (Manila clam)
Lineage: Eukaryota; Metazoa; Mollusca; Bivalvia; Venerida; Veneridae
Exons: 2
Source: RefSeq, a predicted model, not a curated record